Molecule: long non-coding RNA, 1292 nt
Organism: Thunnus maccoyii (southern bluefin tuna)
Lineage: Eukaryota; Metazoa; Chordata; Actinopteri; Scombriformes; Scombridae
Exons: 5
Source: RefSeq, a predicted model, not a curated record
CUCUUGUUGCUAUCGUCAUCGUCUGCUAUCUUUUUCCUUCACCUCCUCUGCUGCACUCUUUCUCAAAAUCUUGCACUUUGUAAGAACAUACCAGGCAAGGCUAGACUUAUUACCAACUCUUUCCUGGUCUUGCUGAUUCUUCAGUAUGCUGAAUAUUAUCCCUUUUUUCAUCUAUUUGCCAUAACAUAGUUGUUGACUUGGGUGGUAUAAAAAAGUAACUUCAGCUGAUAGCAAGCAAAGCAUCUUUAGUAAAGCAGAGCAGCCCCAAUUAUCCUCUAAUCCCUGUGCCAUGAAGAAAGAGUCCCCAAAGUCUGUGAAGCACUUCAAAUUGAAUAGAUUAGUUUUGCCUAUCCUCCUCAUAGCGGGAUGGGACAUUUUAGAGGGUCUUUUGAGGGUAUAUGGCUAAAUUGAAGACUUUGGCUGAAUUGAGCCUAUCGUAAGGAAAACAAUAGAGUGGUGGAAUGUGAAGUGUGUCUGCAUAUAUAUUUAUAUAUAGGCAGAGAAAAGAGCUGAGGCGGAGUAGCUGAAAAAUUAAUAUCUUCAUAUUCACAAAUGCACCGUGAUAUGAGCUGUGGGGAGAGAGAGAGAGAGAGAGCAAAGAAAGCCUGUCCCAUGGAUUUUAAAAUCCUUUUCUUAGCGACUUAAUGGAUUUGGAAGUACACUUUCAAGAUUUUAGAGCAUGUUGGAUUUGGAAACCAUUAAAGGGCAGGGAGGGCUGAGGUUGGGGAGGUGAGGCAAAGAGGACCUGUGGCAACACACUCUCCAAUCAUGUAUGCCUGAGAGGAAACACGCAACUCAGACUGAGACAAAGAUGCUGCAGAAAUGAGACUCUGUUUAGUCCUCAUUUAAAAAUUGCAGGGUUCAUCGACAGCCUCUGAAAUAUCACAUCAUCUCGCCUUUGUCUCGGUUGCCGUGGAAACCAGCCGUGACCUUCCACACCCGCUCACUGGGGCGGACCCGCUGCACAAAGUUGGCCGGGAAAAAUCCCACCUUGUCUCUGCUUUUCCCCUGGAAAUUUGUUAUUUUUCUGCUGAGCGUGGACCGCUUUGUCCACAUGAAGAGCUACCUCGGUGCUGUCUUCCUGCACAGACGCAUCCUCCAGAUUACUGGCCUCCCAGUACGCUCCCCUCCUCCUCCCAACCCGAACCCUACAACCCCCUAUGAUCAUCCCGCUGAGGAGGCAGAUGGUCUGUGAGUGUCAGUGAAAGUUUGGCUAGGGCGACUCUGAGAUACUGCUGAAGCUGGAGCGACUCAUCUGAGCCAGCGACGUCCCAUAGCGCAGUGCCUCAUAC